RNAcentral lists this ribosomal RNA (244 nucleotides) under uncultured bacterium. Its description in RNAcentral is "partial 16S ribosomal RNA". It matches the Rfam family "Bacterial small subunit ribosomal RNA", at positions 524 to 765 of the family's 1533-position model. The record is from RNAcentral.
UACGUAGGGUGCAAGCGUUAAUCGGAAUUACUGGGCGUAAAGCGUGCGCAGGCGGUUUGUAAGUCUGUCGUGAAAUCCCCGGGCUCAACCUGGGAAUUGCGAUGGAGACUGCAAGGCUAGAAUCUGGCAGAGGGGGGGUAGAAUUCCACGUGUGAGCAGUGAAAUGCGUAGAGAUGUGGAGGAACACCGAUGGCGAAGGCAGCCCCCUGGGUCAAGGAUUGACGCUCAUGCACGAAAGCGUGGG